AUUAAGUUUAGUUAAAACAACGGGUACAAUGCAACCUGCCGACAAUCUUAAGAAAAAACAAUGAUGUCACCUAAAUGCAUCAUCCAUCCAUCCAUCCAUCCAUUUUCUGUACAGCUUAUCCUACACAGGGUCGCGAGGAACCUGGAGCCUAUCCCAGGGGACUCGGAGCACAAGGUGGAGCGACACCCUUGACAAGAGAGGAAGUCCAGAACAUAUGGAGUCCAGAGGCAGUAGUUAAGAGGCAUUGUUCCUGCACUGUCAGUGACAGCUUCACUCAACAGAUUAAUAAGAGAGGGACAUCUCUUUGAACCCAUUACUCUUCCAGGACACAAAAUCACUCCCUGUCAAAAUCCCAUAAACACCUUUCUUCCUCCUCACACAAAGUGAAGUGCUACUAAUUUAUAUUAAAAACAGCAAAAUAAUA
Molecule: long non-coding RNA, 424 nt
Organism: Ictalurus punctatus (channel catfish)
Lineage: Eukaryota; Metazoa; Chordata; Actinopteri; Siluriformes; Ictaluridae
Source: Ensembl